ACACACACACUCUGUCUCUCUGUCCCUCUCUCUCCUUGUGCUGUCUCCCUUCAUAGGACAUGGGCAGGGGUGUAGGUGUGCAUCCCCACAGGCUAGGUCUUAUGAGCUAUGAACAAGUAGGGGACCAAAAUCAUGCAGGGUAGCGGGUGCAAGAGUGGAAUGGAUACUCUUGAUGUUGACUAUCUGUUUGAGUGUGUAAUGCUGGCUGAUGCAUGGCUUUUGCAGCUGCGCUGGCAGAGGAAUUGUCCAGGAGCCCUACCCGGAGGAGAGACUCUCAGAAGUGGACCUGAUUACCCUGAACAUCCUUCUAAGCAGACAUGAACAGUCCUCAGCUUUCUCCCUCCUGCAUAACUGGCUUACCAAGAGAAAAGAAGUCACGCGUCAGAGUCUACUGUCCUCACACAAUGGAAAGCGAGCAAGAGCGACGAGACCACAAGCAUUGUUGAUGCGAUGCAAAAGCCGUCCAUCUGUGAGUGGAACCGCCACCACUCUCAGUGAGAUAAGUGUCUGGUUUGGUGGUUGCUCUGCUCACGGCCCACCUCCUGUUUCCAGAGGAAUCAUCCAGGAGCCCUAGAUGGGUGAGAAUAUGCAGAAGCGGACAUGAGCAGCCUGGACAUUCUUCUAAGGAGACAUGAAUAGUCCUCCGCUUCCUGCCUCCCGCUUAACUGGCUGUGAGUAAGAGUACCAAGGGAAAAUAAGUCACGUGCCAGAAUCUACUGCCCUCAUGCGAUGGAAAGCGAAGGAGAGCGAUGACACUGCGAGUAUUGUUGAUGCCACGCAAAAGCCGUCCAACUGGGAGUGGAACAGCUGCCACUCUCAAUGAGAUAAGUGUCUGUUUUGGUGAUUGCUCUGCUCAUGGCCCUCCCUGCUCCUGGUAAGGAUGCCACAUUAGCUGGGGCUGGGUUUGUAAGAAAAUGUUCUUGACUAGCUGUAGUUACGAAGGGCACAAGGUCCCCAUUUUCAGAGGCUGCUCAGUUCUCUGGCCAGGAGCGGCGAGUUCUCUGCAGCAGAAGGUUGGAUCCAGGAGGAUGACUCCAGCUGGUGAGUU
Molecule: long non-coding RNA, 1048 nt
Organism: Mauremys reevesii (Reeves's turtle)
Lineage: Eukaryota; Metazoa; Chordata; Testudines; Geoemydidae
Exons: 4
Source: RefSeq, a predicted model, not a curated record